This is a long non-coding RNA of Brassica napus (rape), 1293 nucleotides long. RefSeq lists it as uncharacterized. The transcript is spliced from 3 exons. The record is from RefSeq and is a predicted model, not a curated record. NCBI's taxonomy places the organism in Eukaryota, Viridiplantae, Streptophyta, Magnoliopsida, Brassicales, Brassicaceae.
UAGACUGUCCACAUAGGAUUGGAUAAUCAACCAAUCAGAAAAGACAUUUUUGACACGUCAGCAAAUCCUUAGAAAUGUGGGCUUCGUUACUUUUUUUUACCCCAAAAUGUUGAUGUUAAUCGGGCCCAUGGAGCCCAUUUCGUUGCUCUUCGUCUUCUUCGUUUCACUUUUCACGAUCUCGGAUCUCUAUUUUUGAGAUAUGCUUGAAUGCUUUACAUUAAAUGUUCAUUAUGUUUAUCAAGUUCACAUUAUAUCACCAAAUCUUACCACGAUUUCACAGUCAAUGCACUCUCCAAGGCGGUGCAUCUACAUCUAUAAAGAGGUUAGUCUACAUACCGUAAGCAUCGUCCUCACAAAUCCAUAUAACACUUGAAUCUGAUUAUUUUCAUGUGUUUGUCUCGAUACGUUUUCUCUUUUGUGUUUUCAUGUUUUUUCAGAUUGAAUCUGAUUAUCUUUGAUCAUCAAUUGUGUGUUUGAGAUCAUUCGAUUCUGAUUUUAUUAAUCUGAUAUCCAUAUCGGAAUUUAGGGCUACUUAGAUCGAUUUCAGUUGAAUCGAUAUUUUUUAUUCGAAUUGGUUUAAGAUUGCAUAAACAAUAAUAACCGUCACUGGAUUGAUCUCAGUGUGGGUUAAUCACUUCUCUAUAACCAGGACCAAGCCGACCAGAUCUUGGGAAGAAGAAACUCAGAACCAUUUCUUCAAGAAAUAAUACUCGCUCAAGUAUAACAUCUGAGCUUCUUUGCUGGAGCUUUCUGAAGCUAAGCGCAGGAGGUAUGAGGCCCUGGGCCUUGACACUUAACAUGUGUUCUUCCUGACAAAUGAUGCUAAUCCACGAGAUCUUCUGAUGAACACUACGAAUCGCUUCUGAUCGUUUUUGUCUUAUCUACCAUUGGCUCAACACAAACCACAUGGAGAUCGAAAAUAUUUGCUGCUGCCAUUCAGUGUGAAGCAGACUUCGUCGGAAGUGUAUGGCAAAGAUUCUCUGUGAGGAGAUGGAGUUGAGAUGAGGAUGAGAGCUCCUACUUCUCUUUGAAGAAAUUUAUGGACGGUUCAGACUAUUACUCAGUUAGAGCCGGUGCUAAUUUGGAAAGAGCUUUCAUGAUGUUUUGUAUGCUCGCCGGCGGCGUCAAAGAAUUUCUAUUCUUUGGCACCGUUUUUGACUGUGCUAUUCCUGAGUUUGUAACAUGUGUUUUAAGAAGUGGCUUGGUUUUAUCAAGUCUUAUCAACUUCUGAUGGAUUUUUUUGGGCGUACGUUGCAAAACGUAUUGGCUUUGAAUGCAGCAGCCGAUUAGUCU